UACGGAGGAUGCAAGCGUUAUCCGGAUUUAUUGGGCGUAAAGCGUCCGCAGGUGGCUAUUCAAGUCUGCUGUCAAAGCUCGGAGCUUAACUCCGAAUCGGCGGUGGAAACUGAACAGCUAGAGUGCAGUAGGGGUAGAGGGAAUUCCCAGUGUAGCGGUGAAAUGCGUAGAGAUUGGGAAGAACACCGGUGGCGAAAGCGCUCUACUGGACUGCAACUGACACUCAGGGACGAAGGCUAGGGGAGCGAAUGGG
Molecule: ribosomal RNA, 253 nt
Filed under: uncultured bacterium
Lineage: Bacteria
Description: partial 16S ribosomal RNA
Rfam family: Bacterial small subunit ribosomal RNA
Source: RNAcentral